GUCUACAGCCAUGCCCACCCUGAAUGCACCUGAUCUCUUCUGAGCUCGGAAGCUAAGCAGGGUUGGGCCGUUAGUACCUGGAGGGGAGGAAUGCUUGAAGAGGCAGGUGGGCUGCAAUAU
Non-coding RNA from Mustela putorius furo (domestic ferret), 120 nucleotides. The record is from Rfam. Lineage: Eukaryota; Metazoa; Chordata; Mammalia; Carnivora; Mustelidae.